This 469-nucleotide ribosomal RNA is filed under the name uncultured organism. Its description in RNAcentral is "bacterial SSU rRNA". It matches the Rfam family "Bacterial small subunit ribosomal RNA", at positions 29 to 507 of the family's 1533-position model. The record is from RNAcentral.
AACGAACGCUUGCGGCAUGCUUAAAACAUGCAAGUCGAACGAGAAAGUGGCUUCGGCCAUGAGUAGAGUGGCGCACGGGUGAGUAACACGUAGCUAACGUUCCUCUUCGCUGGGGAUAACUUCGAGAAAUCGGAGCUAAUACCGAAUGAUCUAAAAUGGUCCUUGGACUAUUUUGGUAAAGCCUUCGGGCGCGAAGAGAUCGGGCUGCGUCCCAUUAGCUAGUUGGGGGGGUAAUGGCCCACCAAGGCAACGAUGGGUAGCUGGUCUGAGAGGAUGAUCAGCCACACUGGAACUGAAACACGGUCCAGACUCCCACGGGAGGCAGCAGUUGGGAAUAUUGGACAAUGGGGGAAACCCUGAUCCAGCAAUGCCGCGUGAAUGAUGAAGGCCUUCGGGUCGUAAAGUUCUUUUAGUGGGGACGAAGGGCAACUUGACGGUACCCACAGAAAAAGCACCGGCUAACUCCGUG